Molecule: ribosomal RNA, 628 nt
Filed under: Hepatozoon felis
Lineage: Eukaryota; Apicomplexa; Hepatozoidae
Description: SSU rRNA
Rfam family: Eukaryotic small subunit ribosomal RNA
Source: RNAcentral
UUUUAGAAGAGAUGCAUUUAUUAGAUAAAAAACCAAUACAUGCUUUUAAAGUAUGGAAUUUGGUGAUUUACAAUAACUUAGCAAAUCGCAUAGUGAAAACAGGCGAUAAAUCAUUCAAGUUUCUGACCUAUCAGCUUUCGACGGUAUGGUAUUGGCUUACCGUGGCAGUGACGGUUAACGGGGGAUUAGGGUUCGAUUCCGGAGAGGGAGCCUGAGAAACGGCUACCACAUCUAAGGAAGGCAGCAGGCGCGCAAAUUACCCAAUUCUAACAGCAUAAGAGAGGUAGUGACAAGAAAUAACAAUACAAGGCAGUUAAAAUGCUUUGUAAUUGGAAUGAUAGAAAUUUAAACACUUUUUAAAGUAUCAAUUGGAGGGCAAGUCUGGUGCCAGCAGCCGCGGUAAUUCCAGCUCCAAUAGCGUAUAUUAAAAUUGUUGCAGUUAAAAAGCUCGUAGUUGAAUUUCUGCUAAAAAUAACCGGUCUGCUUUUAAUAAAGGUGGUAUCUUGGUGUGUUUUUAGCAAUAAUGUCCUUUGAAAUGUUUUUUACUUUAUUGUAAUAAAUUAUAUUCAGGAUUUUUACUUUGAGAAAAUUAGAGUGUUUCUAGCAGGCUAACGCUUUGAAUACUGCA